This 3283-nucleotide long non-coding RNA is filed under the name Homo sapiens (human). Its description in RNAcentral is "HSALNT0363193". The record is from RNAcentral. Lineage: Eukaryota; Metazoa; Chordata; Mammalia; Primates; Hominidae.
CUCCUAGCAUCUCUGCAGGGCUAGCCCAGAGGUUGGCGGCGGAAGGCCCACAGCUCCCCUGGCUCCAUGGGCAAUGACCGAACAGCCCUUCACCUCUCUGGGCCUUGUUUUCUCAAACUGAAACUGGAGAGGAUGACCCCAGCCUGGGACCUUCGAGGGCCUCAAAAGGGCUCUGGGCCUUGCGUGAGACAGAGUCUGAAUCUGUGACCUAGUCUGGAGUGCAGUUGCAAGAUCACAACUCGCUGCAACUUCAACCUCCUGGGCUUAAGCAAUUCUCCUACUUCAGCCUUCUGAGUAACUGGGACUACGGGUGUGUGCCACCACACCUGGCUAAUUAUUUUGCUUGUUUUUUGUACAGACAGAGUCUUGCUGUGUUGCCCGGGCUGGUCUCGAACUCCUGGGCUCAAGUGAUCCUCCCGCCUUGGCCUCCUGAAGGGCUGAGAUGACGGCAUGAGCUGCCUCACGCAGCCCCCAUUCUACACCUCUGAAGUGAGUUUACAUGGUACAGUUGCUGUCUGGCUAGCUGCCGUCCCAACAUCACUGUCAGGACCCACACCUGAAAAGCACCAGCAUCAAAUCCUUCAGAAGAGUGUCAGCAGCUUGGAAGAAAUCCUAGAGGCAAGCAGAACCCUUUUUAGCCCUGGGACUCAAAUGGUGGGAAACCCCAGGGGAAGGGAACCAGGCUUGUCAGUGACACUCCCUUUUUUUUUUUUUUUUUUUUUUUGGUGAGACGGAGUCUCGCUGUGUCUGUCGCCUAGGCUGGAGUGUAAUGGUGCAAUUUCGGGUCACUGCAACCUCCGUCUCCCGGGUUCAAGCAAUUCUCCUGCCUCAGCCACCUGAGUAGCUGGGAUUAUAGGCACCUGCCACCACGCCCAGAUGCUUUUUUGUGUUUUUAGUAGAGACAGGGUUUCACCAUGUUGGCCAGGCUGGUCUCGAACUCCUGACCUCAGGCAAUCCACCCACCUCGGCCUCUGAAAGUGCUGGGAUUACAGGUGUGAGCCACCACGCCCGGCCUGUCAGUGACACUCCUAGAGCAGAGUGAAAACUCGGCUCCACUUCAUCUGCACAAUUGUAAAGCUGGCUUAAGAGCGCCUGGCUGUUUUAUGGAAUGUUUGGAGCAGUACUGCUCUCCGUAGAACUCUCAAGGACUCAGAGAAGGAGGUGGCAGGCAGACACAGACAUCACGACUCUCAGACCAAAAAUGAUUCAAACAAGUUGGACUCUAAAUGUGAAGGAGUUUUCUCCUGCAGGCUGGACGAUGAAUGUGAUGGCUGGAACUCAAGCAGCCACAGUGGAUCAUAAGGGACGGUGUCUUGCUAUGUUGUCCAAGCUGGUCUCAAACUGGCCUGAAUCAAUGCUUCCACCUCAGCUGCCAGAGGAACCGGGAUUACAGGCCUGAGCCACUGCAGCCAGCCAGUUUGUUAUUUUAAUGUAAAUUCUUAGUAAACAACUCAGGAGCUCUCUUGUCCUUUUAAAAUCCAUUUCAACUUCUGCUAAUCGGAGUGUAUAUUCAGGGCAACUUGAAUCUGUGCUCCUGGGAUGCAAUCCUCAAGCUUGGCCCAAAUAAAGUCUCCGCUGAUAUUAAUUUUGCCUAGGCUUCUUCCUUUUAGGUCAACACUCUUCAGGCUCAUGUUGGGGUCUGUUCAGCUGCGUUUCAAAGGGACUCUAGACCCAGGAAGGCCCAGAACCACUGAUGCUGAGUAACACCCUUGGCCUUCUGGUCUCAGUUGCUAUGGCCUUGGGCAUGCUAGGACAGGCAAGUGAGUUUCACUGGGGCAUGUGUUGUUGGGUGGAUGUUUCAGCUUCUUUUCUUUUUUUUUUUUUUUUUUUUUUUUUUGAGACAGACUCCUGCUCUGUCUCCCAGGCUGGCAUGCAGUGGCACGAUCUCGGCUCACUGCAACCUCCACCUCCCAGGUUCAAGCAAUUCUCCUGCCUCAGCCUCCCUCCCCAGUAGCCGGGAUUACAGACAUGCGCCACCAUGCCCAAGUAAUUUUUGUAUUUUUAGUAGAUAUGGGAUUUCUCCAUGUUGGCCAGGCUAGUCUCAAACUCCUGACCUAAAAUGAUCCACCCGCCUUGGCCUCCCACGGUGCUGGGAUUACAGGUGUAAGCCACCCCGCCUGGCCUGUUAUGUUUUUUAACAUUGGUCUUUCGGCCACCAAGAGCCCAGGAAGGCCACACGCACAGCUCUGCCAGGUGCAGCCCAGAUGUCCAGGGCUCUCUGGUCCAGGACACCGUGGCCUGGUCUGCCCUUAUCUCCAGGCCUGAAGCCCCACCUGUCCAACCUGGAGACAGCUAUGCAAGGUUCUCUUGCCAGGUGCUGUUUAAUCUUGGGCCCUCCAGGGCCUGGAGCAGCUUCCAGGGCCAGUCCUCCGUGCCCCCACCCAAGGACGUCCUCACUCCAGCAAGCUCAGCCACAUGCUCAGCAGUCAGGGCCACUGAGGCCACAGCCCCACCGCCACCCACACCAGGCUGUCCUAGAGGGCCACCCCAGCCCUGGAAGCCCUCUCAACCCUUCCUAGAGGCCCAGCCAGUGGCAACAGACCUUGGAGGGGACACUUCCUCUAGAGGCCUUGCUUGGCCUCAGCCAGCCCAGAUAAUAGCCCAGGAGCAGAGGAAACAGGCAGCAGAGUGACAGAGACGGAGCUGGGCUUCCCCGAUAGCAGGGAGCUGCCUGGGUAGCGUGGGGUGCACAGCCAGUGGGGUGGGCUAUUUGCUACCACCACCCCCUAUUUACUAAUGGAGACACUCAUUAGCUCACAGGUGCCCUGUAGGAAGCUCCACGUCUGUUUUCUCAUUUGUAUGAUGAGAGGAUAAAGAGGUGGUAUCCGGGAAAGAAAGGGGCUUUGUGUUAUGCGUGUCCAUGAGGACAACACUGUACCCCCGAGUUUGGCAGGAGAGGAGAGGCAGGCAGUUUACCAGGGCAGCUCGAGGUGCAGUCAGCCUCCUUCCCUGCCCCCACCUGGGACCCCUGAAGGGGUGGCAGGUUGUGGGAGAGAACCACAGUGACAGAGGUUGGUGGGCAGCACGACUCGGGUAGGCUGAGCACCUGCAACCCUGGGCAGGGAGGCUGGCUCCCCUCCUACUGAGUGUCUGUUCUCACAGACGUGACCACAAGCACCCAGCCCCUCCACCUUCAGCAAGCAGCUCCCUGGAUGCACCCUCCCUCCCAACACAUCUCCACCUCCACCUCCUGGGCAUUGCUGUCAUCAUGGGUCCUGCUCCCUGCUGCCCAUCUGGUGCCUCUCCCAGCCUCCCAGCUUGGGGGCUGCACACGGUAGCCCAU